Molecule: ribosomal RNA, 498 nt
Filed under: uncultured bacterium
Lineage: Bacteria
Description: partial 16S ribosomal RNA
Rfam family: Bacterial small subunit ribosomal RNA
Source: RNAcentral
AUUGAACGCUGGCGGCAUGCCUUACACAUGCAAGUCGAACGGCAGCACGGGGCAACCUGGUGGCGAGUGGCGAACGGGUGAGUAAUGCAUCGGAACGUACCUUUCAGUGGGGGAUAACGUAGCGAAAGUUACGCUAAUACCGCAUAUUCUGUGAGCAGGAAAGCAGGGGAUCGCAAGACCUUGCGCUGAUUGAGCGGCCGAUGUCAGAUUAGCUAGUUGGUGAGGUAAAGGCCCACCAAGGCGACGAUCUGUAGCGGGUCUGAGAGGAAGGUCCGACACACUGGAACUGAGACACGGUGCAGAAUCCUACGGGAGGCAGCAGUGGGGAAUUUUGGACAAUGGGGGCAACCCUGAUACAGCCAUGCCGCGUGAGUGAAGAAGGCCUUCGGGUUGUAAAGCUCUUUCGGCCGGGAAGAAAUCGCACGGGCUAAUACCCUGUGUGGAUGACAGUACCGGAAUAAGAAGCACCGGCUAACUACGUGCCAGCCGCCGCGGUAA